UUGGAUGGAAUUUUCUAUAUAUAUCUAUUAAGUUCAUCUCGUCUAAUGUGUCCUUUAAGGCCAGUGUCUCCUUGUUGAAUUUCUGUCUGGAUUAUCUGUCCAUUAGUGUAAGUGGAGUGUUAAAAUCCCCUACU
Long non-coding RNA from Aethalodelphis obliquidens (Pacific white-sided dolphin), 134 nucleotides. RefSeq lists it as uncharacterized. The transcript has 3 exons. NCBI's taxonomy places the organism in Eukaryota, Metazoa, Chordata, Mammalia, Artiodactyla, Delphinidae. The record is from RefSeq and is a predicted model, not a curated record.